AUUCUCUACAGGCUCGCUUUGGAAGGAUAUAUACUAAGAUUGAACUGAUACAGAAAAGAUUAGCUUGGCUCUUGCACAAGGAUGACAUGCAAAUUAGUGAAGUGUUCUU
Erinaceus europaeus (western European hedgehog) is the source of this 109-nucleotide small nuclear RNA. NCBI's taxonomy places the organism in Eukaryota, Metazoa, Chordata, Mammalia, Eulipotyphla, Erinaceidae. The record is from Ensembl.